AAUGAAAUGCCUGAUUAAAGGAUUAUUUUGAUAGAAUAAAUCAUGUAUUUUUAAAUACUUUCAUUA
This 66-nucleotide transfer RNA is filed under the name Dolichoderus sibiricus. Its description in RNAcentral is "tRNA-Ile". The record is from RNAcentral. Lineage: Eukaryota; Metazoa; Arthropoda; Insecta; Hymenoptera; Formicidae.